AACUGGCUUCUUCCCAAAGCUAUUGCAGUCAAAAAAGAGCCCAGAAUGAGUUUCCUGAAGGUGACUGUUCUAUUUAAUACUAUAAUAUUGUGGGAAAAGACAAAA
This is a small nucleolar RNA of Monodelphis domestica (gray short-tailed opossum), 105 nucleotides long. NCBI's taxonomy places the organism in Eukaryota, Metazoa, Chordata, Mammalia, Didelphimorphia, Didelphidae. The record is from Ensembl.